Molecule: ribosomal RNA, 465 nt
Filed under: uncultured Klebsiella sp.
Lineage: Bacteria; Pseudomonadati; Pseudomonadota; Gammaproteobacteria; Enterobacterales; Enterobacteriaceae
Description: bacterial SSU rRNA
Rfam family: Bacterial small subunit ribosomal RNA
Source: RNAcentral
CCUACGGGCGGCUGCAGUGGGGAAUAUUGCACAAUGGGCGCAAGCCUGAUGCAGCCAUGCCGCGUGUGUGAAGAAGGCCUUCGGGUUGUAAAGCACUUUCAGCGGGGAGGAAGGCGGUGAGGUUAAUAACCUCAUCGAUUGACGUUACCCGCAGAAGAAGCACCGGCUAACUCCGUGCCAGCAGCCGCGGUAAUACGGAGGGUGCAAGCGUUAAUCGGAAUUACUGGGCGUAAAGCGCACGCAGGCGGUCUGUCAAGUCGGAUGUGAAAUCCCCGGGCUCAAUCUGGGAACUGCAUUCGAAACUUGCAGGCUAGAGUCUUGUAGAGGGGGGUAGAAUUCCAGGUGUAGCGGUGAAAUGCGUAGAGAUCUGGAGGAAUACCGGUGGCGAAGGCGGCCCCCUGGACAAAGACUGACGCUCAGGUGCGAAAGCGUGGGGAGCAAACAGGAUUAGAUACCCGUGUAGUC